Molecule: ribosomal RNA, 1346 nt
Filed under: uncultured bacterium
Lineage: Bacteria
Description: bacterial SSU rRNA
Rfam family: Bacterial small subunit ribosomal RNA
Source: RNAcentral
GACGAACGCUGGCGGCGUGCUUAACACAUGCAAGUCGAACGGAAAGGCCCUGCUUUUGUGGGGUGCUCGAGUGGCGAACGGGUGAGUAACAUGUGAGUAACCUGCCCUUGACUUUGGGAUAACUUCAGGAAACUGGGGCUAAUACCGGAUAGGAGCUCCUGCUGCAUGGUGGGGGUUGGAAAGUUUCGGCGGUUGGGGAUGGACUCGCGGCUUAUCAGCUUGUUGGUGGGGUAGUGGCUUACCAAGGCUUUGACGGGUAGCCGGCCUGAGAGGGUGACCGGCCACAUUGGGACUGAGAUACGGCCCAGACUCCUACGGGAGGCAGCAGUGGGGAAUAUUGCACAAUGGGCGGAAGCCUGAUGCAGCAACGCCGCGUGCGGGAUGACGGCCUUCGGGUUGUAAACCGCUUUCGCCUGUGACGAAGCGUGAGUGACGGUAAUGGGUAAAGAAGCACCGGCUAACUACGUGCCAGCAGCCACGGUGAUACGUAGGGUGCGAGCGUUGUCCGGAUUUAUUGGGCGUAAAGGGCUCGUAGGUGGUUGAUCGCGUCGGAAGUGUAAUCUUGGGGCUUAACCCUGAGCGUGCUUUCGAUACGGGUUGACUUGAGGAAGGUAGGGGAGAAUGGAAUUCCUGGUGGAGCGGUGGAAUGCGCAGAUAUCAGGAGGAACACCAGUGGCGAAGGCGGUUCUCUGGGCCUUUCCUGACGCUGAGGAGCGAAAGCGUGGGGAGCGAACAGGCUUAGAUACCCUGGUAGUCCACGCUGUAAACGGUGGGUACUAGGUGUGGGGUCCAUUCCACGGGUUCCGUGCCGUAGCUAACGCUUUAAGUACCCCGCCUGGGGAGUACGGCCGCAAGGCUAAAACUCAAAGGAAUUGACGGGGCCCCGCACAAGCGGCGGAGCAUGCGGAUUAAUUCGAUGCAACGCGUAGAACCUUACCUGGGUUUGACAUGGAUCGGAAGUGCUCAGAGAUGGGUGUGCCUCUUUUGGGGUCGGUUCACAGGUGGUGCAUGGCUGUCGUCAGCUCGUGUCGUGAGAUGUUGGGUUAAGUCCCGCAACGAGCGCAACCCUUGUUCACUGUUGCCAGCACGUUAUGGUGGGGACUCAGUGGAGACCGCCGGGGUCAACUCGGAGGAAGGUGGGGAUGACGUCAAGUCAUCAUGCCCCUUAUGUCCAGGGCUUCACGCAUGCUACAAUGGCUGGUACAGAGAGUGGCGAGCCUGUGAGGGUGAGCGAAUCUCGGAAAGCCGGUCUCAGUUCGGAUUGGGGUCUGCAACUCGACCUCAUGAAGUCGGAGUCGCUAGUAAUCGCAGAUCAGCAACGCUGCGGUGAAUACGUUCCCGGGGCU